AUCCAACUGACGACUCCUAAAGAGGACUAAAUACGCGUCCUGGAU
Non-coding RNA from Schistosoma margrebowiei, 45 nucleotides. The record is from Rfam. NCBI's taxonomy places the organism in Eukaryota, Metazoa, Platyhelminthes, Trematoda, Strigeidida, Schistosomatidae.